Molecule: ribosomal RNA, 323 nt
Filed under: uncultured bacterium
Lineage: Bacteria
Description: bacterial SSU rRNA
Rfam family: Bacterial small subunit ribosomal RNA
Source: RNAcentral
GAUGAACGCUAGCGGCAGGCUUAACACAUGCAAGUCGAGGGGUAUAGUUCUUCGGAACUAGAGACCGGCGCACGGGUGCGUAACGCGUAUGCAAUCUACCUUUCACAAAGGGAUAGCCCAGAGAAAUUUGGAUUAAUACCUUAUAGUAAUACGACUUGGCAUCAAGAUGUAUUUAAAGAUUUAUCGGUGAAAGAUGAGCAUGCGUCCCAUUAGCUUGUUGGUAAGGUAACGGCUUACCAAGGCAACGAUGGGUAGGGUCCUGAGAGGGANAUCCCCCANACUGGUACUGAGACACGGACCAGACUCCUACGGAGCAGCAGUGA